Molecule: transfer RNA, 66 nt
Filed under: Thioalbus denitrificans
Lineage: Bacteria; Pseudomonadati; Pseudomonadota; Gammaproteobacteria; Chromatiales; Ectothiorhodospiraceae
Description: Ectothiorhodospiraceae bacterium Su4 tRNA
Rfam family: tRNA
About the family: Transfer RNA (tRNA) molecules are approximately 80 nucleotides in length. Their secondary structure includes four short double-helical elements and three loops (D, anti-codon, and T loops).
Source: Rfam by way of RNAcentral
GUGGUGUGAAUCAUAAAUUUCUGACUUUUAAUCAGGUGGUCGAUGGUUCGAGUCCAUCACGGCGCA